This 509-nucleotide ribosomal RNA is filed under the name uncultured bacterium. Its description in RNAcentral is "bacterial SSU rRNA". It matches the Rfam family "Bacterial small subunit ribosomal RNA", at positions 355 to 853 of the family's 1533-position model. The record is from RNAcentral.
UGGGGAAUUUUGCGCAAUGGGCUAACGCCUGACGCAGCAACGCCGCGUGGAGGAUGAAGGUCUUUGGAUUGUAAACUCCUGUCAGCAGGGAAAAAGCAAUAGGCGCUCAUACCGCCUAAAGUUGAUUGUACCUGCAGAGGAAGCCCCGGCUAACUCUGUGCCAGCAGCCGCGGUAAUACAGAGGGGGCAAGCGUUAUUCGGAAUUAUUGGGCGUAAAGGGGGCGCGUAGGCGGCUUGGCAAGUGGAUGGUGAAAUCCCUCGGCUUAACCGAGGAACUGCCAUCCAGACUGCUUAGCUUGAGACCGGGAGAGGUGAGUGGAAUUCCCAGUGUAGCGGUGAAAUGCGUAGAUAUUGGGAGGAACACCAGUGGCGAAGGCGGCUCACUGGACCGGUACUGACGCUGAUGCGCGAAAGCGUGGGGAGCAAACGGGAUUAGAUACCCCGGUAGUCCACGCCGUAAACGAUGAGUGCUUGGUGUAGCGGGUAUCGACCCCUGCUGUGCCGAAGUC